This 220-nucleotide long non-coding RNA is filed under the name Gossypium barbadense (sea-island cotton). RNAcentral describes it as "long non-coding RNA (GBAR_LNC003070)". Lineage: Eukaryota; Viridiplantae; Streptophyta; Magnoliopsida; Malvales; Malvaceae. The record is from RNAcentral.
AUUGUUGGAAAUUUUUAUGGAUGACCAUGUAUAUUCAAAGAAAGUUAUGGGUUAUUUUUUACUUGAACACUCAUGUGCCUAAUAUUCUUUGUUUAGCAUUGAUGGUUUGUUUUUAAAGGAGAGAUACUUGAUCCAUGCUCAUUAAGGAGAUCAAAAUCAUAUCUUUGAUCCUAGAGAUAGUUUUGGUGCAUAAGAAAGUUUAGGUGAGUAUUUUUUUUUC